RNAcentral lists this ribosomal RNA (253 nucleotides) under uncultured bacterium. RNAcentral's name for it is "partial 16S ribosomal RNA". It matches the Rfam family "Bacterial small subunit ribosomal RNA", at positions 524 to 776 of the family's 1533-position model. The record is from RNAcentral.
UACGGAGGGUGCGAGCGUUGUUCGGAAUCAUUGGGCGUAAAGCGCGUGUAGGCGGCUUGGCAAGUCGGUUGUGAAAUCCCGGGGCCCAACCCCGGAAUCGCAAUCGAAACUGCCUCGCUAGAGUCCCGGAGAGGAAGGCGGAAUUCCCGGUGUAGAGGUGAAAUUCGUAGAUAUCGGGAGGAACACCAGUGGCGAAGGCGGCCUUCUGGACGGUGACUGACGCUGAGACGCGAAAGCGUGGGGAGCAAACAGG